AACGAACGCUGGCGGCGUGCUUAACACAUGCAAGUCGAACGGAAAGGCCCUGCUUUUGUGGGGUUCUCGAUUGGCGAACGGGUGAGUAACACGUGAGUAACCUGCCCUAGACUUUGGGAUAACUUCAGGAAACGGGGGCUAAUACCGGAUAGGAGCUCCUGCUGCGUGGAGGGGGUUGGAAAGUUGCGGCGGUCGGGGAUGGACUCGCGGCUUAUCAGCUUGUUGGUUGGGUAGUGGCUGACCAAGGCUUUGACGGGUAGCCGGCCUGAGAGCGUGACCGGCCACAUUGGGACUGAGAUACGGCCCAGACUCGUACGGGAGGCAGCAGGGGGGAAUAUUGCACAAUGGGCGGACGCCUGAUGCAGCAACGCCGCGUGCGGGAUGACGGCUUGCGGGUUGUAAACCGCUUUCGCCUGUGACGAAGCGUGAGUGACGGUAAUGGGUAAAGAAGCACCGGCUAACUACGUG
RNAcentral lists this ribosomal RNA (468 nucleotides) under uncultured bacterium. RNAcentral describes it as "partial 16S ribosomal RNA". It matches the Rfam family "Bacterial small subunit ribosomal RNA", at positions 28 to 507 of the family's 1533-position model. The record is from RNAcentral.